GGAUUAGAUACCCUGGUAGUCCACGCCGUAAACGAUGUUUGCUAGUUGUCAGGCCCUCAGGGUUUGGUGACGGAGAGAAAUCAUUAAGCAAACCGCCUGGGGAGUACGGCCGCAAGGUUAAAACUCAAAGGAAUUGACGGGGACCCGCACAAGCGGUGGAGCAUGUUGUUUAAUUCGAAGCAACGCGAAGAACCUUACCCACUCUUGACAUCCUCCUUGGGACUUGGAGAGAUCCUUGUCUUCGGUUCGGCCGGGGGAGUGACAGGUGCUGCAUGGCUGUCGUCAGCUCGUGCCG
RNAcentral lists this ribosomal RNA (295 nucleotides) under uncultured bacterium. RNAcentral describes it as "partial 16S ribosomal RNA". It matches the Rfam family "Bacterial small subunit ribosomal RNA", at positions 775 to 1067 of the family's 1533-position model. The record is from RNAcentral.